Nelumbo nucifera (sacred lotus) is the source of this 374-nucleotide small nucleolar RNA. RefSeq annotates it as small nucleolar RNA Z279/snoR105/snoR108. The record is from RefSeq and is a predicted model, not a curated record. NCBI's taxonomy places the organism in Eukaryota, Viridiplantae, Streptophyta, Magnoliopsida, Proteales, Nelumbonaceae.
CUUCAGGCAGCAAACGGGAAGUGAUGAGUGGUCAAAUCUCGCCAUUCUUUGCGAGAGGAGUGUCCACCCCAAGCCUGGUUACGACACUAUGGGCACUCCAACAUAUACCAAUCUGAUCCCUAUCUUCUGACAAAUUUCUCUUUUCCCUUUUCAAACUCUCCACUUCACCGAUGAGGGUUGUAUCAGGAAUGGAAAGGGAUUAUUAUCACGACCUAGACGUUCUUUUUCACGGCAUUCCUGGGAUUUUAGAGGGUGACUGUUUUGUCCGAAGAUUUGCAAACAACAAAACCUCGUAUUUUAGAGAGAUGUAUGGUCUCAGUAAUUUCUACAAAAAAAUCGGUACGUUUUGGAUGCAUGCCAUCUGUUGGAUUAAA